This 348-nucleotide unclassified non-coding RNA is filed under the name soil metagenome. Its description in RNAcentral is "partial contains 5.8S ribosomal RNA, internal transcribed spacer 2, and large subunit ribosomal RNA". The stretch from base 1 to 120 matches the Rfam family "5.8S ribosomal RNA", at positions 35 to 154 of the family's 154-position model. The record is from RNAcentral.
GAUGAAGAACGCAGCGAAAUGCGAAAAGUAAUGUGAAUUGCAGAAUUCAGUGAACCAUCGAAUCUUUGAACGCACAUUGCGCCCGCUGGAACUCCGGCGGGCACGCCUGUCCGAGCGUCAUUUCAACCCUCAGGCCCCCUUUCGCGGGCGGGCCUGGUGUUGGGGCCCGGCCGCUACCCUGCGGCCGUCCCCUAAAUUCAGUGGCGGCCUCGCCGUGAUCCCUUGCGUAGUAAUGCACCUCGCACCGGAGAGCGCCGUGGCCACGCCGUAAAACCCCCAAUUUUCAAUGGUUGACCUCGGAUCAGGUGGGAAUACCCGCUGAACUUAAGCAUAUCAAUAAGCGGAGGA